GAUUAGAUACCGUCGUAGUCUUAACUAUAAACUAUGCCGACCAGGGAUAUGAGUUGUUAUGAAUGGAUUUUAUUCAUUCAAUUUCCUCUUGUGGACCUUGUGAGAAAUCAUAAGUUUUUGGGUUCUGGGGGGAGUAUGGUCGCAAGGCUGAAACUUAAAGGAAUUGACGGAGGGGCACCACCAGGAGUGGAGCGUGCGGCUCAAUUUGACUCAACACGGGAAAACUUACCAGGUCCAGACAUUAGAAGGAUUGACAGAUUGAUAGCUCUUUCAUGAUUUAAUGGGUGGUGGUGCAUGGCCGUUCUUAGUUGGUGGAGUGAUUUGUCUGGUUAAUUCCGAUAACGAACGAGACCUUUACCAUACUAAAUAGUUUGAUUUAUUCAUUUAUGAAUAGAUUUAUAUUUUAUUAAACUUCUUAGAGGGACUAUUGGUUCUUAAACCAAAGGAAGUAAAGGCGAUAACAGGUCUGUGAUGCCCUUAGAUGUUCUGGGCUGCACGCGCGCUACAAUGAUAAACUCAACGAGUAUUUAAUAUUUAUUUAUUAUAUUGCUGUAUUGGAAAGUAUGGCUAAUCUUAAACGUUUAUCGUGCUUGGGAUAGAUGAUUGCAAUUAUUUAUCUUGAACCAGGAAUUCCUAGUAAUCGUAUAUCAUCAGUGUGCGAUGAUUACGUCCCUGCCCCUUGUACACACCGCCCGUCGCUGCUACCGAUUGGAUGAUCCGGUGAAAUCCUCGGAUAAUGAUAAAUACUUUACUUUGUAAAGUUUAUCGUUAGAAGUUGAUUAAACCUUAUCAUCUAGAGGAAGCAAAAGUCGUAACAAGGUUUCCGUAGGUGAACCUGCAGAAGGAUCA
Molecule: ribosomal RNA, 849 nt
Filed under: Vannella bursella
Lineage: Eukaryota; Discosea; Flabellinia; Vannellidae
Description: bacterial SSU rRNA
Rfam family: Eukaryotic small subunit ribosomal RNA
Source: RNAcentral